RNAcentral lists this ribosomal RNA (483 nucleotides) under uncultured bacterium. Its description in RNAcentral is "partial 16S ribosomal RNA". It matches the Rfam family "Bacterial small subunit ribosomal RNA", at positions 28 to 507 of the family's 1533-position model. The record is from RNAcentral.
GACGAACGCUGGCGGCGUGCUUAACACAUGCAAGUCGAACGCUGAAGCUCAGCUUUUGUUGGGUGGAUGAGUGGCGAACGGGUGAGUAACACGUGAGUAACCUGCCUCCUUCUUUGGGAUAACGCCCGGAAACGGGUGCUAAUACUGGAUAUUCACUGGUCUUCGCAUGGGGGUUGGUGGAAAGGGUUUUUCUGGUGGGGGAUGGGCUCGCGGCCUAUCAGCUUGUUGGUGGGGUGAUGGCCUACCAAGGCUUUGACGGGUAGCCGGCCUGAGGGGGUGACCGGGCACAAUGGGAAUGGGAUACGGCCCAAGAUCCUACCGGAGGCAGCAGUGGGGAAUAUUGCACAAUGGGCGCAAGCCUGAUGCAGCGACGCCGCGUGAGGGAUGGAGGCCUUCGGGUUGUGAACCUCUUUCGCUCAUGGUCAAGCCGCAACAAUGGUUGUGGUGAGGGUAGUGGGUAAAGAAGCGCCGGCUAACUACGUG